ACUAGCCUCAGCACAUAGGUUGCCUUCAUCCAUCUUGCCUGAAUGCAGAAGCUAUGCCAGUCAGUUCUGGUUAGUGCAUGAAUGAGAGAUUGCUUGGGAAUGCCAGGUGCUGUAAGAU
This 118-nucleotide ribosomal RNA is filed under the name Salvator merianae (Argentine black and white tegu). The record is from RNAcentral. Lineage: Eukaryota; Metazoa; Chordata; Lepidosauria; Squamata; Teiidae.